GGUAAGGUACCCAAGAGGCUUAAGGGGGGCAGAUUCAUUAGAAUAUGCUAGGCGUUUCAAGCGUGCGUGGGUUCGAAUCCCACCCUUUCCG
This 91-nucleotide transfer RNA is filed under the name Paenibacillus sp. JNUCC31. RNAcentral describes it as "tRNA-OTHER". It matches the Rfam family "tRNA". Rfam says of the family: Transfer RNA (tRNA) molecules are approximately 80 nucleotides in length. Their secondary structure includes four short double-helical elements and three loops (D, anti-codon, and T loops). The record is from RNAcentral. Lineage: Bacteria; Bacillati; Bacillota; Bacilli; Caryophanales; Paenibacillaceae.